RNAcentral lists this ribosomal RNA (497 nucleotides) under uncultured bacterium. RNAcentral describes it as "partial 16S ribosomal RNA". It matches the Rfam family "Bacterial small subunit ribosomal RNA", at positions 28 to 507 of the family's 1533-position model. The record is from RNAcentral.
GACGAACGCUGGCGGCGUGCCUAAUACAUGCAAGUCGAACGCUGAAGAGAGGAGCUUGCUCUUCUUGGAUGAGUUGCGAACGGGUGAGUAACGCGUAGGUAACCUGCCUUGUAGCGGGGGAUAACUAUUGGAAACGAUAGCUAAUACCGCAUAACAAUGGAUGACACAUGUCAUUUAUUUGAAAGGGGCAAUUGCUCCACUACAAGAUGGACCUGCGUUGUAUUAGCUAGUAGGUGAGGUAACGGCUCACCUAGGCGACGAUACAUAGCCGACCUGAGAGGGUGAUCGGCCACACUGGGACUGAGACACGGCCCAGACUCCUACGGGAGGCAGCAGUAGGGAAUCUUCGGCAAUGGGGGCAACCCUGACCGAGCAACGCCGCGUGAGUGAAGAAGGUUUUCGGAUCGUAAAGCUCUGUUGUAAGUCAAGAACGGGUGUGAGAGUGGAAAGUUCACACUGUGACGGUAGCUGACCAGAAAGGGACGGCUAACUACGUG